This is a long non-coding RNA of Girardinichthys multiradiatus, 482 nucleotides long. RefSeq lists it as uncharacterized. The record is from RefSeq and is a predicted model, not a curated record. Lineage: Eukaryota; Metazoa; Chordata; Actinopteri; Cyprinodontiformes; Goodeidae. The transcript is spliced from 3 exons.
CCUAUCUGCUGAUUGCUUGUAGGAGUACUUAAGCGGGAGGCUGCCAGCACUUCGAUGCCAGAUUGUUUGCCUUAGUGGUAACAAGCUCAGCCACUACUAAUUUUGUGCUUCGUUUUUGAACUCAAAGUGUUUCUGAGCAUCUGGAUCAUUGAAUACUGAGUUAAGGAACUACCUUCUUGUGGAUUUCUUUCACUUCCGUCUGAACCUUUCGGACACGGACCAAGCUGGCGGCUUCCCGUUUCCUUCAACUCCAAGACCCAGGCAUCAGCACACCCUGCUUCUUCCUCCUUCUCGAACAUCGGCACCUGAGCUCCCUUUUGCUGGCACCAAGCUCACAACAGAAAAGACAACUGGACAAUCCUCCUUCGCAAGUUAAGACUCCGAAUCUCUCUACCCCUGGCGGUUCUUGCUACAACAAUUUAUUGGUGUACCCAGUUUCUGUCCUAGACUACGAUGUUGACAAUAAAAACUGUAAAACUCUU